CACCCCUUCGCUCUGCAGAAGUAAAAUCUCAAAACAGACCUGGAAGGAUCGUUUCCCCUAGUGACCCAGCCUGGCAAGCCUGGUUUCUUCUCACCUUCAGGCUUUGUUUUAGUUCUUUAAAAUACAGGCUGCUGGGUGAAGAUGAUGGGCUGGUGUCUCCUCUGAGACUUAUAAACCUCCGUCGUGAAGAGUUUAUAUGAAACACAGCAUAAUCCACUGAUCCACCAUUUACUGGAACCAGAGAGUGAUUUUCUCUUAAGCAAAAGCAGCCAGAGACAUUCCACACACCUGCUGCCAACAGCAUCUGUUUGCAGCCUCUGCAAUGGAGGGCAGAGUGGUGGGAACAAGCACUCACUGUUACUGUUGACAGAAGAGAACUCAGUAGUUAAAUAUGUCAGCCAGCUGAAGCCAGGGGAUCCAAGACAAAGAUGAGAGCAUUCCUAUUUGUAUCAGACAGUCCUAAUUAAAAGAAGAUGCUCGGAAGAUACCACUGUGCCAGGCAGUGCUGCAUGAAAAAGAUUGAAUGUGGAAAUGCAGGAGAAAUAAUCUACAGGUAAUUAACCAAGCGUAGGAG
This 574-nucleotide long non-coding RNA is filed under the name Numida meleagris (helmeted guineafowl). Its description in RNAcentral is "lncRNA (ENSNMEG00000011987.1)". The record is from RNAcentral. Lineage: Eukaryota; Metazoa; Chordata; Aves; Galliformes; Numididae.